UGGGGAAUAUUGGACAAUGGGCGCAAGCCUGAUCCAGCAAUGCCGCGUGUGUGAAGAAGGCCUUCGGGUUGUAAAGCACUUUUAUCAGGAGCGAAAUACUACGGGUUAAUAACCUGUGGGGCUGACGGUACCUGAGGAAUAAGCACCGGCUAACUUCGUGCCAGCAGCCGCGGUAAUACGAAGGGUGCAAGCGUUAAUCGGAAUUACUGGGCGUAAAGCGUGCGUAGGCGGUUUGUUAAGUCUGCUGUGAAAUCCCCGGGCUCAACCUGGGAAUGGCAGUGGAUACUGGCAAGCUAGAGUGUGUCAGAGGAUGGUGGAAUUCCCGGUGUAGCGGUGAAAUGCGUAGAGAUCGGGAGGAACAUCAGUGGCGAAGGCGGCCAUCUGGGACAACACUGACGCUGAGGCACGAAAGCGUGGGGAGCAAACA
Molecule: ribosomal RNA, 427 nt
Filed under: uncultured Xanthomonas sp.
Lineage: Bacteria; Pseudomonadati; Pseudomonadota; Gammaproteobacteria; Lysobacterales; Lysobacteraceae
Also listed under: 1 other name
Description: partial 16S ribosomal RNA
Rfam family: Bacterial small subunit ribosomal RNA
Source: RNAcentral